AUAGCGUAUAUUAAAGUUGUUGCAGUUAAAACGCUCGUAGUUGAACUUCAAACCUGGCUGGGCGGUCCGCUUAACGGCGUGUACUGUCCGGCUGGGCCUUACCUCUUGGUGAGCCGGCGUGCCCUUUAUUGGUGUGCGUCGGGGAACCAGGACUUUUACCUUGAGAAAAUUAGAGUGUUCAAAGCAGGCCUAUGCCCGAAUACAUUAGCAUGGAAUAAUAAAAUAGGACGUGCGGUUCUAUUUUGUUGGUUUCUAGAGUCGCCGUAAUGAUUAAUAGGGAUAGUUGGGGGCAUUGGUAUUGAGUCGCUAGAGGUGAAAUUCUUGGAUUGACUCAAGACCAACUGUUG
This 347-nucleotide ribosomal RNA is filed under the name uncultured eukaryote. RNAcentral describes it as "SSU rRNA". It matches the Rfam family "Eukaryotic small subunit ribosomal RNA", at positions 594 to 945 of the family's 1831-position model. The record is from RNAcentral.